This 431-nucleotide ribosomal RNA is filed under the name uncultured bacterium. Its description in RNAcentral is "partial 16S ribosomal RNA". It matches the Rfam family "Bacterial small subunit ribosomal RNA", at positions 338 to 795 of the family's 1533-position model. The record is from RNAcentral.
CCUACGGGAGGCUGCAGUGGGGAAUUGUUCACAAUGGGCGCAAGCCUGAUGACGCAACGCCGCGUGGAGGAUGAAGGUCUUCGGAUUGUAAACUCCUGUUGCGGAAGGUGCGGUACCGGGUGAGGAAGCCCCGGCUAACUCUGUGCCAGCAGCCGCGGUAAUACAGAGGGGGCAAGCGUUGUUCGGAAUUACUGGGCGUAAAGGGCGCGUAGGCGGCCUGUUAAGUCGAACGUGAAAUCCCCAAGCUCAACUUGGGAACUGCGUCCGAUACUGGCAGGCUUGAAUUCGGGAGAGGGAUGUGGAAUUCCAGGUGUAGCGGUGAAAUGCGUAGAUAUCUGGAGGAACACCGGUGGCGAAGGCGGCAUCCUGGACCGAUUGACGCUGAGGCGCGAAAGCCAGGGGAGCAAACGGGAUUAGAUACCCUUGUAGUC